UGCCCUGGAUUAGGCUUUGGCUUAAGGGAGUGUUGUGGCUGGUUUGAUCUAUCCGGGCCACUAAAGUGUCUCCAUUUCAGC
RNAcentral lists this microRNA precursor (81 nucleotides) under Tupaia belangeri (northern tree shrew). RNAcentral describes it as "miRNA (ENSTBEG00000021047.1)". The record is from RNAcentral. Lineage: Eukaryota; Metazoa; Chordata; Mammalia; Scandentia; Tupaiidae.